This 498-nucleotide ribosomal RNA is filed under the name uncultured bacterium. RNAcentral's name for it is "partial 16S ribosomal RNA". It matches the Rfam family "Bacterial small subunit ribosomal RNA", at positions 28 to 507 of the family's 1533-position model. The record is from RNAcentral.
GACGAACGCUGGCGGCGUGCCUAAUACAUGCAAGUCGAACGAGAGCGACCGGUGCUUGCACUGGUCAAUCUAGUGGCGAACGGGUGAGUAACACGUGGGUAACCUGCCCAUCAGAGGGGGAUAACAUCCGGAAACGGAUGCUAAAACCGCAUAGGUCUUCGAACCGCAUGGUUUGAAGAGGAAAAGAGGCGCAAGCUUCUGCUGAUGGAUGGACCCGCGGUGCAUUAGCUAGUUGGUGAGGUAACGGCUCACCAAGGCCGUGAUGCAUAGCCGACCUGAGAGGGUGAUCGGCCACAUUGGGACUGAGGCACGGCCCAAACUCCUACGGGAGGCAGCAGUAGGGAAUCUUCCGCAAUGGACGCAAGUCUGACGGAGCAACGCCGCGUGAGUGAAGAAGGUUUUCGGAUCGUAAAACUCUGUUGUUAGAGAAGAACAAGUGCUAGAGUAACUGUUAGCGCCUUGACGGUAUCUAACCAGAAAGCCACGGCUAACUACGUG